UGUAGCCACUGACUUCAUCAUUAUAUCGCUUUUUAUCUGCUCGAGCCUUUGCUUCAUACGGUUCUUUCUCCUCCGCUGACAAUUGUUUCCACCUGUCUCCAAGAACUUUUCCAACCUCCCCAAAAGCAAUUCCAGGAUUAUUUCUCUUCACAUUCUCUCUUUCCAUUUGCGAGAAGAACAUGAAACCAGACAUUGCCUUCUUUGGUGCAUUUGGAUCCUUCUUCUUCUUCUGUUUUUUCUUCUUGGAUGCAUCCUCAUUUCCAUCUUUGGAUCUCCUCUUAGAUGCUCCCUUAGAAGAUGAGGGCUCUUUUGUAGAUUCCUUUUUCAUGGGCUUCUUUUUCUCAAGUCCACUUUCACUAGCAUCAGAUUCUUCCU
RNAcentral lists this unclassified non-coding RNA (375 nucleotides) under Hevea brasiliensis (rubber tree). The record is from RNAcentral. Lineage: Eukaryota; Viridiplantae; Streptophyta; Magnoliopsida; Malpighiales; Euphorbiaceae.